CUGUGAAGGGUGUGACUAAGCUUAGAAAUCAAGAUGCCUGACAAUAAAUCAUAUUUUCAGUAUGCCUGUGAAUUUUCGAAUGGUACAUCAAUUCCAUUAUUAGGCAGUUGUAAUGGCUGCACAUUAUUUGACCUAGAGACAAAUCCCCUGGGAUGGAGAUUAUGUGCAGGUGUGACUGCUGUCAAACAUCUCACCUGCCAUCCAUCCUUGCCUGGCCUUUCAUGAUAUGCACAGGAUGUUUUGAUUUUUUUUUCCUGUUUAUUACACAUAUUGCCUCAUUUCUGUUAAUCUUUUUUUUUUUUUUUUUUUUUUGGUCUUUUUAGGGCCACACCCAAGGCAUAAGGAGGUUCUCAGGCUAGGGGUCUAAUCAGAGCUACAGCUGCCGGCCUACAUCACAGCCACAGCAAUGCCAGAUCGGAGCUGUGUCUGCGACCUACACCACAGCUCAUGGCAACACGGGAUCCUUAACCCACUGAGCAAGGCCAGGGAUCGAACCUUCAUCCUCAUGGAUGCUAGUCAGAUUUGCUUCUGCUGAGCUAUGAUGGGAGUUCCCAGGAUGUUUUGAUUUUUUUGGAAAGCAGAUGAAAUGGAAGGAAGAGAUGAAUUUAUUGCACAUGCACACACACUGAACAGAGGGAGGCAUAUGUACACACAGCAGGCCUUAAGCUGUAUUAAAGCACAGAUAAUGUUUUCGCUGUUGUUUUGUGUCUGUCUCCACACAUUUAACAUAAUUUCAGAAUUGAGCUGCCCUUUUCCUUCCAGAUCCCCUUUGUAUAGUCUGCAUGUUAUAAACUGGCCAACCAGAGACAGCAUCUAAUUUUUGUCUGUGUACUACUAUGUAUGCAUUUUAAGAACAGAAAAAUAAUCAAGAUUCUUGAAAGCUAAAAAUAAUGUCAGCCUAAUUUUCCAAACUUCGUUCAUGGUCUCCAUUAAAAUGAGAAUUACUUGAAAUUCCUGUCGUGGCUCAGCGGGUUAAGAAUCUGACUAGUGUCCAUAAGGAUGUGGGUUCGAUGCCUGGCCUUGCUCAAUGGGUUAAAAAUCUGGCAUGGCCGUGAGCUACGGUGUAGGUCGCAGAUGAGUCUUGGAUCUGGUACUGGUGUUGCUGUGGCUGUGGCAUAGGCCUGCAGCUGUAGCUCCAAUUUGACCUCUGGCCCCCUGGCCCAUAUGCUGCAGGUACAACCAUAAAAAGAAGAAAAAAAAAAAAAA
RNAcentral lists this long non-coding RNA (1206 nucleotides) under Sus scrofa (pig). Its description in RNAcentral is "lncRNA (ENSSSCG00015080917.1)". Lineage: Eukaryota; Metazoa; Chordata; Mammalia; Artiodactyla; Suidae. The record is from RNAcentral.